CAAAUCAGGUAGGAUUACCCGCUGAACUUAAGCAUAUCAAUAAGCGGAGGAAAAGAAACUAACAAGGAUUCCCCUAGUAACUGCGAGUGAAGCGGGAAAAGCUCAAAUUUAAAAUCUGGUAGUCUUUGGCUGCCCGAGUUGUAAUCUAGAGAAGCGUUAUCCGCGCUGGACCGUGUAUAAGUCUCCUGGAAUGGAGCGUCAUAGAGGGUGAGAAUCCCGUCUUUGACACGGACUACCAGGGCUUUGUGAUGCGCUCUCAAAGAGUCGAGUUGUUUGGGAAUGCAGCUCUAAAUGGGUGGUAAAUUCCAUCUAAAGCUAAAUAUUGGCGAGAGACCGAUAGCGAACAAGUACCGUGAGGGAAAGAUGAAAAGAACUUUGGAAAGAGAGUUAAACAGUACGUGAAAUUGUUGAAAGGGAAACGCUUGAAGUCAGUCGCGUUGGCUAGGAAUCAGCCUUGCUUUUGCUUGGUGUAUUUCCUGGUUGACGGGUCAGCAUCAAUUUUGACCGGUGGAAAAAGGCCAGAGGAAUGUGGCAUCUUCGGAUGUGUUAUAGCUUCUGGUUGUAUACAUCGGUUGGGAUUGAGGAACUCAGCACGCCGCAAGGUCGGGGUUCGCCCACGUUCGUGCUUAGGAUGCUGGCAUAAUGGCUUUAAUCGACCCGUCUUGAAACACGGACCAAGGAGUCUAACAUGCCUGCGAGUGUUUGGGUGGAAAACCCGAGCGCGUAAUGAAAGUGAAAGUUGAGAUCCCUGUCGUGGGGAGCAUCGACGCCCGGACCAGACCUUCUGUGACGGCUCCGCGGUAGAGCAUGUAUGUUGGGACCCGAAAGAUGGUGAACUAUGCCUGAAUAGGGUGAAGCCAGAGGAAACUCUGGUGGAGGCUCGUAGCGAUUCUGACGUGCAAAUCGAUCGUCAAAUUUGGGUAUAGGGGCGAAAGACUAAUCGAACCAUCUAGUAGCUGGUUCCUGCCGAAGUUUCCC
RNAcentral lists this ribosomal RNA (978 nucleotides) under Clitopilus cf. scyphoides T-782. Its description in RNAcentral is "eukaryotic LSU rRNA". It matches the Rfam family "Eukaryotic large subunit ribosomal RNA", at positions 1 to 972 of the family's 3401-position model. The record is from RNAcentral. Lineage: Eukaryota; Fungi; Basidiomycota; Agaricomycetes; Agaricales; Entolomataceae.